This is a long non-coding RNA of Astatotilapia calliptera (eastern happy), 1335 nucleotides long. The record is from Ensembl. Lineage: Eukaryota; Metazoa; Chordata; Actinopteri; Cichliformes; Cichlidae.
UAAAAUAUAAUUUUAUUGUGCAAUUAGGUUUUAAUCCACAAAAAAUACUUUAUUUCUACACAUUUUCAAUGGGAGCCAGAAAUAUGUUGACAUUUAUGAUUAGUAGACUCCAUUAAGUAGUGUUGCUAGCUGAGGUUGACGCAGUGAAGACAGAGUACUACUACGCAAAGGGCAGUAUCUGGACUACAGGAUCACGGGCCUCUCGGGACAGAUGACGCAGUCUGCAGGAACUGUGUAAGUGGGUAAUCUCUCAGCGGGCUCCAUAUCGACUGUGUAUUCCGUUGCCUGAAGUGCCAAGCAAGCGGCUCUUUCUAAAAGAAGCCCAUCUCGCCCCUCAGCUAUGAGAUUUAUUACGCAAGUCCUGCUGCCCCAUUUCCACUCACCCAUGUACCCACACCACAGAGCAUGACCUGGAAGGGCUGAGAAGACUUUUAGUGCAAAGAUACCAAGUUUUAGUCCUUAUUUCUGUUUUUUGAGCCUAUAAAUAUUACAUUAAGAUCCAAGCACUUACUUUCAGUUUUUCUCUUAUUUCAAACCAGAUGUGAAAAUCUGGCACUAGAGCUACUGCCUGCAGAACUACAGUUUGAUUAAUAUUUCACAGGCUUACAUAACUCCAUCAGUUAGCUUGUCACCAUGAACCCGGUGCUACUACUAUUACCCAACUCCAUUAGACGAGCAGGAAUGCGGCAGAACUUUUAUUGUUUCUGGAAGAACACUUGAUGACGUCCCUCCCGUCACAGCUUUAUCAUUUUAUCGUGUCGUCAGAAUUCAGGCCAGGAGGUGGGGGUGCAACUUUAAUUAGCUGAGCAUGCUGGACUGAGGAUAUAGAGCAUUAAGAACACUCUUUAAGAAAAGUUGGAGACUUCGUCCUUUGUGAUUGUACUUACUUUUUAAUCAUGAGGUUGAGAUGAAGCUGAUGAAGAUUAUAUAAAAAUGUGUUUUAAGGCCCCAGGAACUUUAAAAUUAUAAUAAUAAUUUAAAAAAAAUACAGUGAUAAAAGUUUGACUUUACUUUUUGUAGCUGUAUAACCUCUCUUGAGUUUUACUUGCCUCUCUCAGAGCCUGGUCCUGCUGCAAGGUUUCUUCCUCACUGCUGUCACCAAUUGCUGACCCAUAGGGCACUAACAAAUCUUAAUUUCAUAGGACGCAUGACUGGCAUAAAACUGUUUCCACCUUAAAAAGUAAAACACCUUAUUUGUUGAAUUCCCAAAACUCUCAUUGUAACGACUUUUUGCUUUUGUAGAGCUACUCCUAUAGAUAAUGCAAUAAUGUAAUAAGACUUACUGCUGAAAUCUCUGUGUUAUAAAUGGAUGGAUCACUGAAAAACAAUGUUUAC